Molecule: long non-coding RNA, 1302 nt
Organism: Ailuropoda melanoleuca (giant panda)
Lineage: Eukaryota; Metazoa; Chordata; Mammalia; Carnivora; Ursidae
Exons: 3
Source: RefSeq, a predicted model, not a curated record
UCCUUGUAAACAUCACACCUUUUUUUUUAGCUUCUAAAUUCUAAGUGUGGCUUUCUACCCCACAACACCAGCUUUCAAGCUGUAUUUACAUUCAAAUGUACUCAUUUGAUUAUUCACUGAGCAUCGAAUACUUGCCAGGCAGUAUUCUGUGUCAAGGAGAAGGACCAGUUAGGACCAGGGCAGGAGCAGAGGGAUCUCUCUGAAUGGGUACUCGAGCAGAGAAGCGGGGGUGCAGCCCAAGGAGGUCUGGAGUGGACUUCCUGUUCCAGGGUUGGGAACAGCUGUGCAAAGGGCCUGAGGUGGGAGCACGUGACAUGGUGAGCUGAGCCUGCAGCUGCAGCAGGUGCUCGAAAUCACAGGAGCACUUCGGUUCUCUGGCAGCAGAAUGGCCAGCCUGAGGGGAGCAUGCCGAGGCCCCACCUGGAGACAUGGAGCUGCACCCAGAGAGGCUGGGAAGCGCUGCCACCCCAGGGCAGCGACCAAGAGCAAAAGCUUCCCUCGGGCUCAGCGGGAGGCUGCAGGAACCCAUGCUGGAGAGAGACACGUGAGUGACUGGCAGACUUGCCCGACUGGACCUGCCCGAAAUCCUUUCUGCACCAUGAAACAAGAAAUGAGCUCAAGAUCCCGUCGUUCUUCUAGGAAUCCGUGGUGGGAAACCCUCACCGGAAGCUACAUCUACGAAGACGCGGGUUGGAGGAUAGCUCGUGUUAGCGGGAGGCGCACGGAGGGGCCAGCCUAGCCUCCCUGCCGCAGUUUCCAGAAGCACCCCACAGAUUAUGUCGUUAGGCAUUGCACAAACUCCUGGCUUGGCCGUAAAUGUUCACAUACAUUUUCAAAGGACAUUUGUGUCUCCUGCCUGCUCUGUGGCAGUGGCCUUGGUUGGGGACAUGUUGUGAGCUGGUUGUUCAAAAUCACAAGAGCCCUCCGAGUCACAGGGUCCUGUCUUGAAUGGGGCAGAGCCCACUUACGCUUUCACCCACAAAUACUAGCCAAGCGCCCACCACGGGCCAGAGGUGGUCUGGGUGCUGGGCACUGUCCCCGAGGGCUGACCUGCUGGACGGAUCCACCAGCAAGUAGCCCGUACCCAACAGACAGAUGCUGCCAAGAUACAAUGUAUGCCUCUCACGGGGACCAAAGCUCAUCCAAAUCCCUUCUGGGCAGGUGAGCUGAUGAGGGAACAUGAGGGUGAGGGAACGGAAGGCAAGCUGAGGACAAAGCAGAAGCUGACACCUUGCAACCCCCCCCCAUGGGAUGUAUGCAACAUUCCUCAGGCUCUCCUGGCUGCCCUAAAGGACAAAGAAA